ACGCUCGACACCUACGGGAGGCAGCAGUGGGGAAUAUUGCACAAUGGGGGAAACCCUGAUGCAGCGACGCCGCGUGGAGGAAGAAGGUCUUCGGAUUGUAAACUCCUGUUGUUGGGGAAAAAGAGGAUGGUACCCAACAAGGAAGUGACGGCUAACUAUGUGCUAGCAGCCGCGGUAAUCUGAGCGGGCUGGCAAGGC
Molecule: ribosomal RNA, 198 nt
Filed under: uncultured bacterium
Lineage: Bacteria
Description: partial 16S ribosomal RNA
Rfam family: Bacterial small subunit ribosomal RNA
Source: RNAcentral